RNAcentral lists this ribosomal RNA (648 nucleotides) under Staphylococcus aureus. RNAcentral describes it as "partial 23S ribosomal RNA". It matches the Rfam family "Bacterial large subunit ribosomal RNA", at positions 852 to 1501 of the family's 2925-position model. Lineage: Bacteria; Bacillati; Bacillota; Bacilli; Caryophanales; Staphylococcaceae. The record is from RNAcentral.
GUUCUCUCCGAAAUAGCUUUAGGGCUAGCCUCAAGUGAUGAUUAUUGGAGGUAGAGCACUGUUUGGACGAGGGGCCCCUCUCGGGUUACCGAAUUCAGACAAACUCCGAAUGCCAAUUAAUUUAACUUGGGAGUCAGAACAUGGGUGAUAAGGUCCGUGUUCGAAAGGGAAACAGCCCAGACCACCAGCUAAGGUCCCAAAAUAUAUGUUAAGUGGAAAAGGAUGUGGCGUUGCCCAGACAACUAGGAUGUUGGCUUAGAAGCAGCCAUCAUUUAAAGAGUGCGUAAUAGCUCACUAGUCGAGUGACACUGCGCCGAAAAUGUACCGGGGCUAAACAUAUUACCGAAGCUGUGGAUUGUCCUUUGGACAAUGGUAGGAGAGCGUUCUAAGGGCGUUGAAGCAUGAUCGUAAGGACAUGUGGAGCGCUUAGAAGUGAGAAUGCCGGUGUGAGUAGCGAAAGACGGGUGAGAAUCCCGUCCACCGAUUGACUAAGGUUUCCAGAGGAAGGCUCGUCCGCUCUGGGUUAGUCGGGUCCUAAGCUGAGGCCGACAGGCGUAGGCGAUGGAUAACAGGUUGAUAUUCCUGUACCACCUAUAAUCGUUUUAAUCGAUGGGGGGACGCAGUAGGAUAGGCGAAGCGUGCGAUUGG